CGUAAACGAUGUCGAUUUGGAGGUUGUGGCUUCCGGAGCUAACGCGUUAAAUCGACCGCCUGGGGAGUACGGCCGCAAGGUUAAAACUCAAAUGAAUUGACGGGGGCCCGCACAAGCGGUGGAGCAUGUGGUUUAAUUCGAUGCAACGCGAAGAACCUUACCUGGUCUUGACAUCCAGGUGCUGCAUGGCUGUCGUCAGCUCGUGUUGUGAAAUGUUGGGUUAAGUCCCGCAACGAGCGCAACCCUUAUCCUUUGUUGCAACUCAAAGGAGACUGCCAGUGAUAAACUGGAGGAAGGUGGGGAUGACGUCAAGUCAUCAUGGCCCUUACGACCAGGGCUACACACGUGCUACAAUGGCAUAUACAAAGAGAAGCGACCUCGCGAGAGCAAGCGGACCUCAUAAAGUAUGUCGUAGUCCGGAUUGGAGUCUGCAACUCGACUCCAUGAAGUCGGAAUCGCUAGUAAUCGUAGAUCAGAUGCUACGGUGAAUACGUUCCCGGGCCUUGUACACACCGCCCGUCACACCAUGGGAGUGGGUUGCAAAAGAAGUAGGUUACCACUUUGUGAUUCAUGACUGGGGUGAAGUCGUAACAAGGUAACCGA
This 603-nucleotide ribosomal RNA is filed under the name uncultured bacterium. RNAcentral's name for it is "bacterial SSU rRNA". It matches the Rfam family "Bacterial small subunit ribosomal RNA", at positions 801 to 1503 of the family's 1533-position model. The record is from RNAcentral.